RNAcentral lists this ribosomal RNA (415 nucleotides) under uncultured Funneliformis. Its description in RNAcentral is "partial 28S ribosomal RNA". Lineage: Eukaryota; Fungi; Glomeromycota; Glomeromycetes; Glomerales; Glomeraceae. The record is from RNAcentral.
GAGAGUUAAACAGUACGUGAAAUUGUUGAAAGGGAAACGAUUGAAGUCAGUCAUACCAACGGGAAAUCAACCUUUUGAGCUCGGUCUCGUGGGUUUUGAAGAGUUUCAAAGCCUUCGGAUUCGCGGGAUUGGGAUCUCUUGGUGUACUUUUUCGUACGGUUAGUCAACAUCGGUUUUGAAUGUCAUAAAAUGACUGGAGGAAUGUAGCUUCGAUCUCGUAUUGAAGUGUUAUAGCCUUUGGUAGAUGUGAUGUUCGAGACCGAGGAUUGCAACGGAUACCCUUCUGGGCUAUUCGUCUGAUCUCUGAAACGUUGCCUUGAUGUCGAAAGCUUGCUUACGGUCAUUUAAGUUGACGGUCAAAAGGUUAGAACGUGAUUACAUUCGUUAAGGACGUUGGCGUAAUGGCUUUAAACGA